Molecule: transfer RNA, 71 nt
Filed under: Procavia capensis (Cape rock hyrax)
Lineage: Eukaryota; Metazoa; Chordata; Mammalia; Hyracoidea; Procaviidae
Description: tRNA-Gly (TCC) (tRNA-Gly-TCC-14-1)
Rfam family: tRNA
About the family: Transfer RNA (tRNA) molecules are approximately 80 nucleotides in length. Their secondary structure includes four short double-helical elements and three loops (D, anti-codon, and T loops).
Source: RNAcentral
GCAUUGGUGGUUCAGUGGUAGAAUUCUCACCUUCCAUGUGGGUGACCUGGGUUCAAUUCCUGGUCAGUGUG